RNAcentral lists this ribosomal RNA (460 nucleotides) under uncultured bacterium. RNAcentral's name for it is "partial 16S ribosomal RNA". It matches the Rfam family "Bacterial small subunit ribosomal RNA", at positions 338 to 795 of the family's 1533-position model. The record is from RNAcentral.
CCUACGGGAGGCAGCAGUGAGGAAUAUUGGUCAAUGGACGAGAGUCUGAACCAGCCAAGUAGCGUGAAGGAUGACUGCCCUAUGGGUUGUAAACUUCUUUUAUAUGGGAAUAAAAUGUUCCACGUGUGGGAUUUUGUAUGUACCAUAUGAAUAAGGAUCGGCUAACUCCGUGCCAGCAGCCGCGGUAAUACGGAGGAUCCGAGCGUUAUCCGGAUUUAUUGGGUUUAAAGGGAGCGUAGGUGGAUUGUUAAGUCAGUUGUGAAAGUUUGCGGCUCAACCGUAAAAUUGCAGUUGAAACUGGCAGUCUUGAGUACAGUAGAGGUGGGCGGAAUUCGUGGUGUAGCGGUGAAAUGCUUAGAUAUCACGAAGAACUCCGAUUGCGAAGGCAGUUCACUGGACUGCAACUGACACCGAGGCUCGAAAGUGUGGGUAUCAAACAGGAUUAGAUACCCGUGUAGUC